CUGUGGUGGGAUGCAGGAAUGACUGUAACAGCACACAUGCACAAAUGUGUGUAUAGGGGGGUCUGACAGUGAGGGAGAAUGCAGUCAUUUAUAGUGUAGCAGCCACGUUCGCCUCCACCACCAAGCAGAGCCACAGCAUUGAGCCUGCUGUAGCCUUGAGGGAGAGCGCAGACAAGGACAAAACUGCCGCUGUCGCUGAUGGAUUUGUGGGGGAUAUACAUCUUGUUGCGCAGCAUGAUUAUUGCAUCGAUCUCAAAGCACCGCUUAUCAAAAACAACCAUAACAACAAACAAUUGCGUGAGGGAUUCACAUCGAUCUCAAUCCCUCACCAUUCAGGAACAACCAACAACAAACAAUUUCGGACUCCUAUCCUGAGGUCACCAGAACCAGCUGGAUCCAGCUCUAUUCCUGCUUGGUGUUGGACUCCACUGCUACGUGUCUCGAGUGAUGACGACUAAAUGCAGCAGGUGCCAAGCCAAACAUCACUUCAGUCUAUUACGAUGGACUUCAGAGGAUGAACUGGUGCCAACUCUAACCAUAAGACAUGGGAUACAUCAUAUGCCAUUGCCUGAACCUUGGACUUCACCGAAAUUACCGGCUGGUUGAACUGCGAUCCACCUCACUGAUCUCUGCCUGCAUCAACUACUACACUCUUAUAAUGGAAUAUAUAGACUAUCAAUGAAUUGCCAACAAAACACUUCAUCAGCCAACUAACAAAGGACAAUGCAUCUAAGUGAACUUCUGCAGUUAAUCCAGGAUGAACUACAAAGACAUUAGUCAUCAAUCUUACAGUUCUUACUAAAUCUUUGUUUAAACUCUGACCCUUAACACUUAGUUUAAUAAUUUUAUACCAUGACUUGCACUAUACAUAAUUAAGUAAUAUUGGCAUUAUAUUCAUGAUGUUAGCCAGAGGGGAACUGGCCCCACAGUGAGUCUGGUUUCCCCAAGGUUAUUUUUCUCCAUUAACCAACAUCUUAUGGAGUUUUGUGUUCCUUGCCAGAGUCACUUUUGGCUUGCUCACUGCGUUUCUACAUACAACUAUUAUUUAUUCACUUAUUUUUAAGCACAAUUCACAAUUGCAUUUUAUCAAACUACACGAUGACUCUAAGACAUUAUAGAUAUUACAGUUUCAUUUUCUGUUAAUGCAUGAUUUUCUGUAAAGCUUCUUUGAAACUAUGUGUGUUGU
Molecule: long non-coding RNA, 1186 nt
Organism: Myxocyprinus asiaticus (Chinese sucker)
Lineage: Eukaryota; Metazoa; Chordata; Actinopteri; Cypriniformes; Catostomidae
Exons: 3
Source: RefSeq, a predicted model, not a curated record